GCGCGAGUGGCGGAAUGGCAGACGCGCUGGAUUCAGGUUCCAGUGGCCGAAAGGUCGUGGGGGUUCAACUCCCCCCUCGCGCA
RNAcentral lists this transfer RNA (83 nucleotides) under Sporichthya sp. Its description in RNAcentral is "tRNA-Leu". It matches the Rfam family "tRNA". Rfam says of the family: Transfer RNA (tRNA) molecules are approximately 80 nucleotides in length. RNAcentral also lists the same sequence under 2 other names. The record is from RNAcentral. Lineage: Bacteria; Bacillati; Actinomycetota; Actinomycetes; Sporichthyales; Sporichthyaceae.